RNAcentral lists this long non-coding RNA (261 nucleotides) under Elaeis guineensis (African oil palm). RNAcentral describes it as "long non-coding RNA (EGUI_LNC004125)". The record is from RNAcentral. Lineage: Eukaryota; Viridiplantae; Streptophyta; Magnoliopsida; Arecales; Arecaceae.
ACCAUUAUGCGCUUUCUAUGCUGGCGGUUUCUGAUGUGCCGACUCUAUGUUGGUAGUCUGAAUAUGUCGACUAUAUAUUGAUAAUUGUGGAAGUCCGAAUGACCAUUAAUUGGCAACUCUGAUAUACCGAUGGUCACUAGUUUGGAACUAAUAGAGUCAUCAUAAUCAGAGUUUGCUGAAGAAGUUGAGAAUAACUGACUGUUGGUUAGUCAACCGAUUGAUAGUCAGUGGCUUGUAUUUAUCAAGCCGAUUGAAUGUCGG